Molecule: non-coding RNA, 74 nt
Organism: Potamilus streckersoni
Lineage: Eukaryota; Metazoa; Mollusca; Bivalvia; Unionida; Unionidae
Source: the annotation of a GenBank genome assembly
GGCAUCGGUGGCCUAGUGAUUAGAGCGUCUGUCUCGGAUGCAGUAGGUCGUGGGUUCGAUUCUCAGGCUAGUCA